RNAcentral lists this ribosomal RNA (497 nucleotides) under uncultured bacterium. Its description in RNAcentral is "partial 16S ribosomal RNA". It matches the Rfam family "Bacterial small subunit ribosomal RNA", at positions 28 to 507 of the family's 1533-position model. The record is from RNAcentral.
GAUGAACGCUGGCGGCGUGCCUAAUACAUGCAAGUCGAGCGAACAGAUGAGGUACUUGUACCUCUUACGUUAGCGGCGGACGGGUGAGUAACACGUGGAGAACCUACCUAUGAGACGGGGAUAACUUCGGGAAACGGGAGCUAAUACCGGAUAAUAUAUUUAAACGCAUGGUUCAAGAGUGAAAGACGGUUUUGCUGUCACUUAUAGUGAUAUCCCGGUGGAUUUAGUAAGUUGGUAAGGUAAGGGCUUACAAAGGGAAGGACGCGUAGCCGCCCGGAGAGGGUGAUCGGCCCAACUGGAACUGAGAAACGGCCAAGCUCCCUACGGGAGGAAGAAGUAGGGAAUCUUCCGAAAUGGGCGAAGUCUUGCCGGAGAAACGCCGCGUGAGUGAUGAAGGUCUUCGGACCGUAAAACUCUGUUAUUAGGGAAGACCAAAUGUGUAAGUAACUACGCACGUAUUGACGGUAACUACCCAGAAAGCCACGGCUAACUACGUG